CCGGCGGCGGCGGCGCGAGCGGCUCCCUCGUCCCCGCGCGGGCGGCGGCGGCAGCGUCGUCGAGCGGUGCAGACAAAGGAGGGGCGGAGGGAAGAGACGGAGGGUGUGGGAGAGGCCGCUUCACCGGCGCGGGCAGGCGGGCGGCGGCGGCCGCGCUCCUCUCGCUCCUCAGCUGCGGGGACCGAGAGAGGGAGCUGUGUCUGAGGAGACGCCAAAAUCCCCCUUAGCGCUGCCCGCGGGAGGGGGAGGGGGCACAAGAUGGCGGCGGCCGGGGGGGCGGGAGUUCAGCUCAUGGAUCCCGGCGGGCGGCGGAGGGGAGACCGGGCCGGCGGAGGCGGCGGCGGCAACGGGCGGGGGAGGGGGCUGAUCCCGCGUCUCCCCUCAGCAGACAAUACAAGCGUCUCGGAGCGAGUCCCCGAACCUGCCCUAGCCAAAAUGGCGGCCGAGAAAGAGCGGAAGUGACGAAAUGGGCAAUGGGCAUCAUCCUUCAUUUUAAAGUAGAGUGGCUGUUGGCUAUGGCAAGAGGAAAACCAGCAAAUCAACUCAUCCCAGAAUGCUGAGUGGUCAGAUGAAAAAAGGGCAAGGAUGGAGAAGGUCCAAGGGGCUUUUGUGUAUUGGAGAUAUAAGCAGAGACAGUAUCUCUGAGGUGACUUCAUGCAGAGAUCAAAGGAUGAGAAUUUGGCCGCUAAGGAGCAGGAAGAGAGCAUCGCAAGCAAAGAGAACAUAGUGCUGUGUGAGCAGAUGGGAGGAGUGUGCCUGCAGCAAAGAGCGCAAAGCAGUGAGGUACAAGGAAAUCACCAGAAAUGCUUACAUACACAUUUUGAAGAGAAGAAAUUGGUAAGCACAGAAAAGCAUACAUUAGUCCUCUAAAGGUGAUCCUGAACUAUAAUUAAAUACUGUUUAUUCUCAAUCAAAAAUGUCUCUCAAUUCCAUUCUUCCCUUCCAACUGCCCCUUGGUCCAGACACCAUCGUUUGGUGCUUGGAACCCUCCCUAACAAGUUUCCCUGCUUCUGCUCGUCCCAUCGCUCCUGGCCCACUGCCAUAAAGGUUCUGCUGAGAAUGUCUCCCACACUGUAGGCGGCCGGUACCCUAGAACCCCGCUGAUAUUUGGGGCCAAAGGUGCAGCUAGCCACCUCUCAUGCCCAAAGUUCCUCAGGGACCUGGUAGGUAAAGUAACUGGUCAGGAGCAGGAUUUGGGGAUUCCUGCAUUUUCUAGCCCCAAAUCACCACAGUACCUUAUUGGCUAAGGCUGCUCUCUUCUAACUUCUUUUGUAAAGAAGUUUCUAUCAGAGCCUUUUGGAUAUACCACCAACUGGUUAGUAAUUCUUGGUUGUUUUCACUGCAGUGUCCAGAUUAUUUCAAUUCCGAAGAACCCUCUGGAUUCAGAUUCAGAACAUUUGAUGAUGCCAGGGAACUGAUGGUCUUCAGAAUAGCAGAUAUUAAUUUUUAAGAACUGUGCUUCCUUUAUGCUCCCUCCAAUUUUUCAGUGAAAAUUAUACCAAUCCUCAACAUGAGCAACUGUGACUAACAACAGAAAUAAAGGCAUUCAGAUUUUCAUCUCAGAACAACUAAGCUCAUCUGAGGUUUUCUAUAACUCUGUUUAAAAACAGAAAAGCUUUGUUUUUUUAAAAAAAUAAAGAGUAACUUUUUAAAACAUAAAGAACUGUUGUUCAGAGGUUUACAAUGAAGGCAGUGUGCUGGUCCAAGACGUUUGCCCUCACAUCCUUACUCUGUUCUAUAUUGCAGAGAACUUAUUUCCCAGGUUCUCAUCAUUGGCUUCCAAACAGCUUUGGGAGGCAGAGGGGAAGCUUCUGAGGAGAGAGAAGGGGAAAGUCUAAGCGUCCUCCCUCUUACUCUGCCUCCCAGCACUGACUGCAUAUCCUCAGUGGCUCCAGCUCCCGCCAGGUGCCAGGUAUCCCCAGCUCCAUCAUGCUAGCCUCCUCGGGCAGCCUGGGUUCCUGGACUCUGAAUGCAGCAUCUCCACCUGCUGUUGCUCCAUGUUGGGGUGGUAGGAACCUCUAGCUAUUACUAAUCUCUGAGCAGCCUCACUGUUCCAUUUGGCUUCUCAGCAAUUCCUUCACCUGUGUAACCAGAUUCUCUGUAUUAAAUUCCCUAUAUUGAAAGACUUACAGUGGUUUCUGUUUUCCCAAGUGGGCCUUGACUGAUACAGGCAACUCAAGUCAUUUAAAUGUCAUUAAGAUCAUUAAAAACCAUCACAGGAGGUUACUGUAUUUUGGCCCUGUUCCAAACAAGGAAAAUACACACUGGAUAAUCUUACCAAGGCCAGGAGCGGGUAUGAGGGGUGAGGCCUU
Molecule: long non-coding RNA, 2312 nt
Organism: Hipposideros armiger (great roundleaf bat)
Lineage: Eukaryota; Metazoa; Chordata; Mammalia; Chiroptera; Hipposideridae
Exons: 4
Source: RefSeq, a predicted model, not a curated record